Molecule: long non-coding RNA, 397 nt
Filed under: Ananas comosus (pineapple)
Lineage: Eukaryota; Viridiplantae; Streptophyta; Magnoliopsida; Poales; Bromeliaceae
Description: long non-coding RNA (ACOM_LNC040826)
Source: RNAcentral
UCGUUCCGAAAAAUCCAAUUAACAACGAACAGAUAUUUGAUCUUAAAACAAACGACGAGGGUGGCUCUGAUACCAUUGUAAGAAAAUCAUGUGUACGUAGCGGAAGAAAAUAACACAAUUAAAAAUUUUCUUGAAAACCAAAGAUCACCUCGUGUUUUGUUUUAGAUCAUUAAUAAUAGAUCUAAUUGAUCUAAUCAAAUAGGAUCUAUAUUUUUAUUUUACCUCGCGCGGGUCGAGAUCACCGCGAAGUCGACAAUCGUUGAUAAAAAUUGUUCGUCCUCGGUUAGCCGCGCACGCGCCCGGCCUCUACUCGCGUCCACACGAAAUCACGCCCUUGAUCAAAUUAAACGACCGCUUCAAUCCAUGAUCCGAUCACGAAUUAACUCUUGCGUCGACU